CGGCUUCCUACGGGAGGCAGCAGUGGGGAAUUUUGCGCAAUGGGCGAAAGCCUGACGCAGCAAUACCGCGUGAGUGAUGAAGGCUCUUGGGUCGUAAAGCUCUGUCAGAGGGGAAGAACCUCCUGUCAUAUAAUACAUGGCAGGCCUGACGGUACCCUCAGAGGAAGCACCGGCUAACUCCGUGCCAGCAGCCGCGGUAAUACGGAGGGUGCAAACGUUGUUCGGAAUUAUUGGGCGUAAAGAGCAUGUAGGCGGUCUGUCAAGUCUGAUGUGAAAGCCCGGGGCUCAACCCCGGAAGUGCAUUGGAAACUGGCGGACUUGAGUACGGGAGAGGAAAGUGGAAUUUCGAGUGUAGGGGUGAAAUCCGUAGAUAUUCGAAGGAACACCAGUGGCGAAGGCGGCUUUCUGGACCGAUACUGACGCUGAGAUGCGAAAGCGUGGGGAGCAAACAGGAUUAGAUACCCCAGUAGUCCAAGC
RNAcentral lists this ribosomal RNA (477 nucleotides) under uncultured bacterium. Its description in RNAcentral is "bacterial SSU rRNA". It matches the Rfam family "Bacterial small subunit ribosomal RNA", at positions 332 to 800 of the family's 1533-position model. The record is from RNAcentral.